UGCCUGCUGGAGACAAACUGAUGGGUUUUAAAUGUUUUAACUCCUCAGGGAACGUCCGGGCCCGAUCCCACCACGGUGUACGUGGACCUGAAGUCCUUGAGACAUGACAGAGUCCGUCUGGUGGAACGAGGAGCUCCACAGAGCCUGUUGCUUUCCGAGUCUGGGAAGAUUCUGCCUGGAGUCAAAGUGGUCAUUGUCAACCCGGAGACAAAAGGGCCUCUGGGAGAUUCCCACCUUGGGGAGGUAAGUGGAAAUUUUGCUCCUUG
Molecule: long non-coding RNA, 266 nt
Organism: Manacus vitellinus (golden-collared manakin)
Lineage: Eukaryota; Metazoa; Chordata; Aves; Passeriformes; Pipridae
Exons: 3
Source: RefSeq, a predicted model, not a curated record